RNAcentral lists this long non-coding RNA (703 nucleotides) under Helianthus annuus (common sunflower). RNAcentral's name for it is "hypothetical non coding rna". The record is from RNAcentral. Lineage: Eukaryota; Viridiplantae; Streptophyta; Magnoliopsida; Asterales; Asteraceae.
UAAACCAAGUACACGAGUAAAGAUAAUUGAGAAAAAAAAAAAAAAGAUUGAUUGGAGGAAGGAGACACAAAACUCACAUCAUAGCAUGUAUAUAAUUUCACUGUAUAUAGCUAAACAAGUACUAGAUAUGUGCUUAUUUGACUUAAAAUCGACUUAUACAACCACCAUACCAACUAACACAACUCGCUAAAUUGAUACAUAUCAUAGUACUAGGUGUCUAGGUCCUUGUAACGUAUCCAAUCGCAUUAACUAGCAUCUUCUUCAAAACAUUUUGACAAUUUGGAUUGCCUGAACAAGUUGAACGAUUCAUUAUAGUAAUACUAACAUCUGCAAAUUAUAAAAUCAGUAAAUUCCUAUCGGAAAAACAGCAAAGAUUUGGAGAAUAUAUUAAACCACGAAUGAACAAAAUUCUAGGACCGAAUCUUCAUCACUAACUGCUAUAAUUCAUAUAUGACUCAAAACCUAGUCGGGGACCACCAAUAUUGGCAAUUCUUGCACGUAUAAACCAGAAAGAAGAACUUCUGCACAUGAAAUUCCAUCAAUAAUCACAAAGCAUCCGCGUAAAGAUAUUAGAAUAAGAUUGUACUUCGUACAACAUUAUAAAUAUUACAAAUAUACCCUACAGUCCCGAGAUUGUAACAUGAAAUAACAGACAAUAGUUGAACAAAAAGUUGACUUUUUAUUGCAUCAGGAUAUAACAUAA